Molecule: ribosomal RNA, 386 nt
Filed under: uncultured bacterium
Lineage: Bacteria
Description: bacterial SSU rRNA
Rfam family: Bacterial small subunit ribosomal RNA
Source: RNAcentral
ACUCCUACGGGGAGGCAGCAGUGGGGAAUAUUGCACAAUGGGGGAAACCCUGAUGCAGCCAUGCCGCGUGUGUGAAGAAGGCCUUCGGUUGUAAAGCACUUUCAGUAGGGAGGAAGGUAGUGUAGUUAACACCUGCAUUAUUUGACGUUACCUACAGAAGAAGCACCGGCUAACUCCGUGCCAGCAGCCGCGGUAAUACGGAGGGGUGCGAGCGUUAAUCGGAAUUACUGGGCGUAAAGCGCAUGCAGGCGGCCUGUUAAGUCAGAUGUGAAAGCCCGGGGGCUUAACCUCGGAAUUGCAUUUGAAACUGGCAGGCUAGAGUCUGUAGAGGGGGUAGAAUUUCAGGUGUAGCGGUGAAAUGCGUAGAGAUCUGAAGGAAUACCAGU